AGUGCUUUCUCUACCCAAAGCCUUCUGUAAACUGUCUAGGAAAAGCUUAACAAAAAAUCCGGAGGAAGACAUCUAAGGGGCCCCUCUCCUGCCCCUCCUUCCUCCCCUCAAAUUUUUCAUCUCGUGUGGAGAUAAUGAGAAGCAAAAUGUCUUGUCAAUUCAUUCACCCAAUAUUUAUCGAGUACCUGCUGGCUGCCAGCACCUGUUUCCUGUCUUGCUGUGUCGUCCACUCAUGGCCUCUCAAAAAGCCACUGUAACUAACUCCUUGUGCUUGUCAACCCUGGUGACAUUUCCAGAACCCGCAGAAGGUCUCAAGAGCAACUCAAAUUCAUCAAUUUAAAAAGUUGCUGCUUAAAAAUAACAAGGCUGCAAAGGCACCGUGACCUGGCCUUCCUCGUUGUAAUGUUUGCAAAAUCUUUUAACAUGACUGGUUAUAGAAAGGACAGUUACAUUGAGGUCCAGACAGCUGCCAACUCUGAUUUAAACACCAAGUAAAAGUUUCAUCUAAUCAAAAGCACCCUUUCCUAGCUCUACCGGUUGCCUUCAAUUGUAAAACAAAAAUUAUCUAGGAGGCUGUUAAACCAUCAUCAAAUACUAAAACCUUUGCUUGCAUUGGGUUAGCAGGUUAGCCCAGCAUUUCCCUUCCUGGACACACAGGAGGAGAAAUGCUGGACUAAUCUGCUAAUCCAAUGCAAGCAAAAAUUUGCAUUGGAAAGUUGGAUUUUUUGGUUUUUGGUUUUUUCUUUUUUCUUAAUACUAGGCCCGACCCCGAGAGAAUCUAAUCUAAUUGUUAAAAAAAAAAAAAAUCCGGGGUUCAGGGGUGUCCAGCUUUGUAUGGGUAUUUUUUUCACAUGGGCCCCAGGAGACUCUGAUGUGUGGCCAGGGUUGGAAACCACCAUAGGAUUAGCCAAUCAUCAAGCAGGGCCUAAGGGAACGUCCCGUUGAUACAGCAAAAGGUCUGCACAGGUGUUGCAAACUCAAAUGUCCCUGAAGGAUAAAAGCAGGUGACAAAGAAGUAACUUAAGUGGUUAUACAGGGACAAACUGAGAAGGGCACAAUGGCCCUGAAAAAGGCAGCCUCAUUUUUCUACGUGGGAAAAGAGGGUCCAGUGUGGCCAUCAAGUCGGGGUAUUUUAUUUUAUUUUGGUUUGGUUCCCCCUGCCCCCAAGAGAAGCCAGAA
Molecule: long non-coding RNA, 1179 nt
Filed under: Homo sapiens (human)
Lineage: Eukaryota; Metazoa; Chordata; Mammalia; Primates; Hominidae
Description: HSALNT0141313
Source: RNAcentral